GGAGGGGGCGAGCGUUAUUCGGAAUUAUUGGGCGUAAAGGGCGCGUAGGCGGCUUUCUAAGUCAAAGGUGAAAUCCCUCGGCUCAACUGAGGAACUGCCUUUGAAACUGGAAGGCUUGAGGCCGGGAGGGGGUAGCGGAAUUCCCAGUGUAGCGGUGAAAUGCGUAGAUAUUGGGAGGAACACCAGUGGCGAAGGCGGCUACCUGGACCGGUUCUGACGCUGAUGCGCGAAAGCGUGGGUAGCAAACAGGAUUAGAUACCCUGGUAGUCCACGCUGUAAACGAUGGGUGCUCGGUGUCGCGGGUAUCGACCCCUGCGGUGCCUUAGCUAACGCGUUAAGCACCCCGCCUGGGGAGUACGGUCGCAAGGCUG
This 371-nucleotide ribosomal RNA is filed under the name uncultured bacterium. RNAcentral describes it as "bacterial SSU rRNA". It matches the Rfam family "Bacterial small subunit ribosomal RNA", at positions 527 to 896 of the family's 1533-position model. The record is from RNAcentral.